UAUUAAGUUCCCUCUGUAUGCAGAAUAUUGUGCAACAUGGUUAUGGGUACUACAGUGGAUGUGAGUGUGUAGACCUUGUACAAUAGAGCUUAUAGGCUAAUGAGAAGACAGGAAGAAACAACAGGAACACAUAUAGCUGGAAUGCAGAUGGGAUCUGUGCUACUUACGCUAGCCAUGGGAUGAUUAGAACAAGAUAAGAGACAUGAGGAAGACUUCUUCAAGGAGGUGCUCAAGCCAUGUUUUGGAAAAGAGAACUCAAGGUCUGGCAGGGAGAAAGGAGCAAGACUGCCUGGCAGCUCUUUAGAAAGUUGUGUGACGUAUGAACCAGUUCUUCCCUAUAUGAGAGUGUACCGUACAUCGCAGGCUGUCCAGCAUCGACCCCACUGAUGGAUGCUAGUAGUCCUCCCCGCCAGCACUCAACAUUGUGACAAGACCCCAGUAGAGAUGGUCCCCAAGCAUGCUAACCAUGAAGCAGUGAUAUCGCACAGCACCUGCUUCCAGCAGCCCGGAGCCAAGGGGCAAAAUGGAAAGAGUCAGCAUUUCUCUUUUAGGUUCUCUGCCUCUCUAGUGUGUAAGCUUUUAACCCCCACUACGCGUCUUCGUUCCAUUCUCCUCCAGUACCCAUUUUAGUGAGCUUCUGUUGUUUCUGCCCCAGGAUAUCUCUAACAAAGAACCAAGAUAUUUAUCAGGAGAACUUCUCCCACUCUCCUCUCAGUCCUUGGGGAUCUGAUGAAAUGACACUUCUUGGACUGUGGGGUGGAGCAUGUGAGUCACACCUGGGCCAAUCAUUUUAUCCUAUUUCGUGACCACAUGACCAAUUCAGGGAUGGGAACAUGACCCAGGUGGAACCUAUGAGAGGCAGUGAGAUCUUUCCAGGUACUUCCAGGAAAGAGGGUCUCACUUUUCCCUCUAUAAUGUACACCAGAGAAGGUGUGUGGCUGAAGCUGCUACCAUCCUCUUGUGGCUACAGGAAGCUGGGAUUAAUUGUAACAACGCAAUUGGCAGAUCUGAAAGCUGAGAACAAAAAAGCAAAAAACCUGUGUUCUAAUAACACUAUAUAUGAGCCCUAAAUCCAGCUAUGCCUGGAGCCAGUCUUACUGUGGAAUUUUUAACCUAAGCUGGUUGAUAAAUUAUCUUUUCAUUUAAGACAAAGUCAUGGCAGAUUUUUUGCCACUUGUGAGAAGAAGACAGAUACACCCAAGAAGCUCCUGUUCUUUCUCAUUAACCCAUAUUAAAACCCACUUUCGGGAAAGGAUUCUCCAUUCUAAAUUAUUAAUAACUGAUAAUGCUUCAAAGUCAAAGUAUGACUCCUUCAAGAAAGUUUUCAGCUUUCAGGAUUUGUUCAGCAAAUACUGAGCCCCUUCUGAUGCAAAUAGACAUGGCAGUGUAUGCUAGGAGGAGAGUGUAGCCAAGUUUUCCCAUCAAACUCGGUAUUUCAGUGCCUAAUUUUGGCCAUUCAGAUAAGUUUCAACUUCUAGUAAUGGCCAAGUAAAUUAUAUCUAACUAAACCUUCUGCCAAAGACAGUGGUAAAUUCUGGACCCAAAACACAAUGAUAACAACAAAACCUGUUUGAAGGUUCUUGAAACUGGCCAACAUGGUUUGGUUCUGCAGACAAAAACUGAAGACAUGACCCUUGAAAAAAGGAAAUCACAUAUGGUGAGAUACACAUUUAUCAGGUUUUCCUUCAGCAGCGCUAUCCAUUUCCUGCAGUGGACGGAGGUAGAGCUCAGCAGAAAGUGGCUGUUCUACUGAGUUAAAAAGUUAGAGGUUAGAAUUUGGGGCUUCCACAGUAGCAGGAGAUUGGGAAGGAGGGAAUCUCGCAAAGGAGGGAGUCUCAGAUGGGGAGCUCCCAAAUCUGUGUACAAACUUCUCUGAUUCCUAAACUGUGCAUCUGGGUGAGGUUCAAGGAGCUGAGGGAAAAAUAACAGCUGGAAGGCUAAAAAGGUGUUGUCUUGUGUUGAGCAGAUGGUGCUUAGGGUUUAGUUCUCACCAAGUUAGAGGACUCUGGAGAACACCUAAAGCUUUCUACUGAGACUACAGAAGGAGUAAUGACUACUCCCCAGGACUAAAGCCUAUGUCCUAGGAAUAAAGGCAAAACCAAGAUAGGCCCACCCUGACAAAGCCUAAAACCAACUCUUCAUAGCCGCAUUAUGCAAUAUAGUAACUUCUAGGCACACAUGGCAUUUCAAAUUUAAUUAAAACUAAGUAAAAUUUAACAUGUAGUUCCUCAGACACACUAGCCACAUUUCAAAUGUUCACAGACACAUGUAGUUAAUGGCUAUGAUACUGGACUGCACAGACUACAGAAUAUUUCUAUCAUCAUGGAAGUUCUAUUGAAUGGCAUUGCUCUAUAGGAUCAAGACUAUGCUAGUAAUUUAACUGCUUGAUAGAACAAAUGUCAAAUUUCUUCUAAGGAAGAUAGUAGACUCCAAAGUCUUUUUAAUAUCAUCCAAAAUGCUCAGCAUACAAUUUUUAAAAAUUACUAAUUGUGCAAAGAAUCAGGAAAAUGUAACCUACAGUGAAGAGAAACAACAGGUGAUAAACAUAGACUCACAAGUGACCCAGAUGUUAGAAUUACAAAAGACUUAAUAACUAUAAUAAGUUAAAGAGUCUAUAGGAAAAUAUAUCUGUAGUAGCUGAAGAGAUGGAAAAUUUUAAGAGAGCUAUGGAAACUUUAAAAAAGAACCGAAUGGAAAUCCUGAAACUGAAAGAUACAAUAUCUGACAUUGAAAAUGCAUUAGUUUGGAAUUAACAGCAUAAUGAACACAACAUAAAAAAUCAGUGAGGCUGGAUGCGGUGGCUCACGCCUGUAAUUCCAGCACUUUGGGAGGCCGAGGUGGGCAGGUCACUUGAGGUCAGGAGUUCAAGACCAGGCUGGCCAACAUGGUGAAACCCCAUCUCUACUAAAAAUACAAAAAUUGACCUGGCGUGGUGGUGGGCACCUGUAAUCCCAGCUACUCAGGAGGCCGAGGCAGGAGAAUUGCUGGAGCCAAGUAGGCAGAAGUUGCAUGUGCUGAGAUCACGCCACUGCACUCCAGCCUGGGUGACAGAGCAAGACUCUGCCUCAAAAAGAAACAUUAAAAAAAAAUUAAUAAAUAAAUAAGAAAUCAUCAGUGAACUUGAAGACCAGUCAACGGAUAUUAUUUAAUCAGAAAGAAAAAAAGAUUAGAAUAAAAAGAAGAAUAGGGCCUAAAAAUCCUGUGGGAUAAUAUCAAGCAGUCUAACAUAUGUAUAUUUAGAGCUCCAGAAAGAGAAGAGAAACAGAAUGAAGUAGAAAAAGUAUUUGAAGAAAUAUUGACUGGAAAGCCAGGCACAGUGGCUCACACCUAUAAUCUCAGCACUUUGGGAAGCCAAGAUGGAAGGAUUACUUGAGCCCAGGAGUUCGGGACCAGCCUGGGCAACAUAGCAAGACCCAGUCUCUACAAAAAAAUUAAAAAAUUAGACAGGCAUGGUGGUGUGUACUUGUAGUCCCACCUACUCAGGAGACUGAGGCAGGAGGAUCACUUGAGCCCAGGGGGUCAAGGCUGUAGUGAGCCGUGAUUGUACCACUGCCCUCCAGCCUGGGUGAUGAGUGAGAUGCUGUCUCAAAAAAAAAAAAAAAAAAAAAAAAAGAAAGAAAGAAAGAAAGAAAAGAAAUAUUGACAGGAAAAUCUUCCGGUUUGAUCAAAAACAGUAACCUCAGCAAACUCCCAGUAGAAUUAUUUCAGCCAUUUAGAUGUCUCUGACCCAAAACCCAGCCCCACCCAACUCACUGACAAGACACAAGGUAAUAUACAGACCAAGAAUUUCUGCAAGGAUAAUAGGGCCUGAGAUGAGGGUACAGAUAUUCAGAGGCAGUGCCGACACUGAAAAAAUUCCACAGGUUUCUUCUCAGAAUCUUGCUGACUCCAGAAAACAAGUCUAGAGUAUACUUUUCCUACUGAAGGAUCUGACAGUCCUCUUUCAGGCCACCCUGAGACGGGCUCCAUAAUAUUUUGAAAGUAUUAGGUUGAUUUGACUUUAGCUUCAAUUCUACUUAAAGGAAAGAUAUAUUUAGAUAGAGAAUAGAUUUCUGGGAGCUAGAGAAAAUGAGGCAAAAAAGAGCUAGAGUAAAGCUAACCCAAAACAUAGAUAGCCCCUUAUCAAGAAUCGGGUUGAGUGGAAUGAAGAAAAAGUUGGCAGGAUUUACCCCCACAAUGAUGCACACAUUCUUGGUGGGGGCCCUUAGUUACAUGGGUCAGGAACUAAUAAGUCCCUGUGGCACUUUUGAUGCUUUCUGUGGCAAGUAACAACAACAACAAUCAUCACAAUCAUAACAACUUAUCAAACUGACUUAAACAUAAGGAAAUUUGUUAUUUCACAAAACUGAAAUUUUAGGACUAAACUCAGGACUUUUAAGUUGCACCUUGAAUAGCUAAACAGAGUGUUGAGUUGCACACUUGUCUGGCUGAACAAAUCAGGAGCUGGUUGAUUCAGAAGCCCAAUGAUGCCAACACAGACCCAUGUCUUUCCUUCCCUCUUCUGCUCUUCUUGUCAAAGGUUUCACCUUAAGGUCAGUUCCCUUCAAGUGUCAAGUAUACAUGUGCAUACCUGGUCAUAUCUAGCAGGAGAAAGAGAAAACAAGAAAACUCUUCCCUUGAUCAAGGAGUGUAAGUCCUUCGCUUUAGCCUGAUUUAACCAAAUUAAGUUGUACCUAUAAGGAAAAAGGUAAUUUGUCUUAGGUAGUAGCAAUGAGAUUUUAGAACUGAUACUGGUUGGGUACCUUCAAGUCUGUGUUUCUAUACAAUUUCUUAACAUGGGCCUCUGAUAUUAGGGAGAUUCUGGAGUUACAUAUCUUGAUAAUUUAGGAGUAAAUUUCCCUUAGCAACAGUUAAUUAUGCCUUAAUUUAUUUUGUGUUGCUAAAGAGCAAAUGAUGAACCCAUUGAGUUGCUGUUGAAGCUUUGAUUUGAAUUUAGUAAUUCCUGAUUGCCUGUAUCAUGGGACUUUCUCUAGUAUUAGACAAUCUUCCAGUUCCUCAAAUGAGGCAUGUUCUAUUAGGCAGCAACUGGUGUGUUUGAGACCAUUUGUAAGUAUUUUAGGUGAUAGACAAUAAUACACAUAGUGCCAAUGAUAAAGUCAAUCCAGUCACAGGACCACCCAGAAAAUAUUGGGGACUCUAACAAAAGGAGCAACAAAAUCCAAAACAAUCAUAACAAAAAAUGAAAGAGGGAACACUGAAUUUGAUGAAUUAAAAAUUAUGAGAAGAUUUUUGUUGGAAAUAUUCAGAUGGCAGUAACUUCUAAUGUGACUAAGCUAUCCUGUUGCAUAGUGAAACCAGUUUGCUAAGUACCUUUUGUUUUGUUUUGUUUUGUUUGAGGCAAUGUCUUACUCUGUCACCCAGACUGGAGUGCAGUGGUGCUACUACAGUUCACUGCAGUCUCAAUCUCUCAAGCUCAAGCGAGCCUCCUGCCUUAGCCUCCUGAGUAGCUGGGACCACAGGCACAUGCCACCACAGGCACAUGCCACCACACCCAGGUCAUUUUUAAAAAUUUUUGGUAGAGAUGAAGCCUCACUGUAUUGCCUAGGCUAAUCUCGAACUCCUGUGCUCAAGCAAUCCUCCCACCUUGGCCUCCCAAAGUGCUGGGAUUACAGGUGUGAGCCACUGCACCAGGCCCAAAGUACAUUUUUCACACCUGAUUGGAUUUUGUUCUAGUUGGCCUAUCCACUAUGUGGUAUGAGUAUACUUCCUGGGUAAUGAGAAUGGCAAACACUUGUGAUUACCUAGUUGUCAAGAUGAUUACUAAUUCUAACCUAGCAUUCUAAUCUAGAGUUCGUUUCUAGAUUAGAAUUAGUAAUCAAGUCACAGUGAAAGAAAAAAAGAGUUUCUGGGAAGGCAGAAGGAAAAAUUGGUAAAUUCACUUUUACUGUUUACAUAUUGACUUGUUUUUCUUAAUGUUAACUGCAGAAUUUGUUUCGUCAUCCAAGGUGCAAAUAAAAGUCCUGAGAGUUUAGUUCUAUGUCAUCUCUUUUAUAAAUAACAGAUGUCAGUUAUACUGCCAUGCACCUGUUAACCUCGGAGGCACCCUCACUGCCCACUAACCCCCUCCUUGCUCUAGAGGUGCCGAGAAUGGGUGAAAGCAGAGGGGGGAUACCCAAGCCAAAGUGAAGCAGAGGUAAAAUGGCAUGGAGAAAAUCACUGCAGGACAAUACAAAGUCAAGGUCAAAUGAUGGGAUGAGACAGAGACAUAGAGAAAACCAUCCAGAGAACACUGGCCUAAAGCAAUCCUUGGUGGUGGUGAUGGGGGUGGGCGGGGGGUUCUUUUGAAACCAUGGUGUUUGGUAAACUAGGAAAUAAAGAGAUGAAGGUAAAUAUCAUGCCAGCCUCAGCAAACAGCAGCUGGAACGAAAGAAACUCAAGGACAGCCCUGAGCAUGGAGAAAAUAGUGCUGGGUAGGCAUUGUUCUCCAGAGCCAGAGCACACACACAGAGGCCACCACUGAAAGUGAAGGACAACUGGAGUUGGGAGUACGUGUGCAUCUUUGAAAAAGGCAUAGCGCUUUCUGGAGACAGACACUGAUUUUGAAAUCAUUUUAAUGGCAAUUCUUUUCACAAGCUGUGACCCAAACAUACUCAAGUUGAAGUAUCACCUCUUUUUCCCUGGUUACUUCUGCUGCCUUGGCUUAUCUCAGGAGACCUUGGUAUCUCAACCCUGAUAUUUUCUCCUCCAUCUCCUUGCCUGAAUUAAAACUCUUCUUUACCCAGAGAGCACUGCUUUUCUUGCAGCCCUCUGGAGUCCUUUUCCACACCCUAGAUAUCCUAGAUUAGGAUGUGGAUGUGGCUGCCCCCUCAUUCCCUAAUGCAGCCCCCAAGCAUUCCUGUAAAAAUGGCUGCUCCUCUGAAGUUCAGGUAGUGUUGUUCUUGUCCACUGGUCUCCGGAAACUCCCUCUUGUUCCCCAAGGACUUUCCCUUCUUGCUUCUAGUAUUCCCUCACACCUCAACCCUGUCAUCCUCCGGAGAAGCGUUACUGUACCCAUGGAUGACCUAGUCAACACUCUGGCCUCUCAAUGCCUUCAUCUACUUCACUACCUCCAGCACCCACCUCUCAGUGGCACCUGGAUCUUGUUACCUCUUCCAUCUCCUUCUCUGAUGACAGCUCCCUCAUUCCAGUCCACUUGCACACCUGCUCUGCAUCUCACCACACAAGGUCCUUAGACCCUGGCCACUCUACUUUUCCUUAUCCAUUAACCCACUCUGCCCUUGUUUCUCUUUGAAGCCACAUUAAACUCCACAGUCCAUUAUCUUAGUCACUGUCUUGCCAAUACCCUAAACUUACUGGCCUAUUUUUUCCUUUCAUCACGUCCACCUGGGCGGGGGGUAUCCUAGAAGAACUCAACAGCAUACUUUCUUAUUUAUGUCUCUCCCUAGGCAGCAAAGUAUGACUAGAGAGAAAUAUCCCAGCCUACAGCCUGCACCCAGUCACCACCUUCCCUGAUUCUCAAACCUCCCUCACCCCUAGGGAAUCUCACCGUCCUCCUCUUGUCCCUCACCCUUCUGUCUCUGAAACGACCAUUUUAAACUUUCUCCACUUCUCAAAGCUUUGAGCCCCCAUCUCAUCGCUCACUCCAGUAGAUGUCUUUGUUCUUACUUCACAGAGGAAAUAGAUGCGCUCUGGUAGCAAUUACCUCACUUCCUGCCACCGGCUCCUAUAAACCAACCUGCACCUCUGCGCCCAUCCUUUGCUCUUCCCAUCUGGCAAAAUGGAACUGAUGUCUCUCCUCCUACAAAGGUCAAGUCUCUUCUUAUGCCAUGGAUUCCAGCCUUCUUAGGAAAGGUACAUUAUAAAUCCUCCCCUUUUUCUAUCUUUGAAUUGUUCCUCUCUAAUGGGCCCUUUUCAUCAGCAUCUAAACAUGUUCCAGUCACUCCCAUUCUAAAAAAUUCUAUUCCUGGACUCCAAAUUUCCUGUUCAGUUCUACUGUUUUUCUCCUCCCCUUCACUCCUAAACUGAUUGGAAGAGUUGUGCACAAUCAUUGUUUGCCCUUAUUCAUUGCCUGUUUACUUAUCAGCCUUCUCCAACUGGCUUCCUUCCCUAUUCCUCUAUUAGAACUUUUUUUUGCUGAAGGACCCAGUGACCUCCAUGGCCCGAAAUCCCAUGGGUACUCCUUGGUCUUUGUAUUAUAUGACCUCUCAGCCUACUUCAACAAAGUUGACCCUCCCUUCUUUUGGAAAAAGCUAUUUUUCUUGGUAUCCAAACUACCACACUCUCCUGGAAGACACCCAGCUGUGUCUCUCUCUGGCUCUCUUUCUCUGUCCCUUUGCCAGCUUUUCCUCUUCUACCUGACCUUUACACAUUGGAACUCCUCAGGUUCAACCUUAGAUCCUCUUCUCCCACCCUAGCUGCUUAAAUCAUCUCAACCACCCAUAUUGCCUUGCCUCUAUGCUGAGAGCUUUCAGAUUUAUACGACAGCCCAGAAUUUCCUCCAAUCUCCUGAGCCAUAGUAGACUUUGAGUCUUUGCUUCAGAUGCAGAUCAAGAUGUGGCAACCUGUUGUGGAGAACUGGGUCCCUUGAGCCUGUGCUGUCUCUUUUUUUCUGGUGGCUUUGUCAUUUGGAACAAUGCAUAAUGGGCUGGAGGCUGAGAAACUCUGAGCUGAGGGCAAGUAGAGCUGCAGCUGUCUGGCGCCACUGUAAUGCUGUCUCCUCCUCUGAGUGAGUUCAUCCUGGAAACAUUUUCUCCCAUAAGACAUGCACAGGUCUUACGUUUACAUGUUUCACUGAAAGAAAUUUGAUUCCACUGCUGGGAUGACAAGGAAGACUGAAGAAACCUAAUCCUAGGUGCUGCCACUGGGACAAACAAGAAGCACCAGACACAGUGCUGUUUUAGGGUGGGGCAGAAUUAUGCUGAGGGAAAAGUUAUUAUCACUCUUUAAGGCCAAGGAAACCACAAUUUUUAAAGAAGCUUCUAGAAAUUCUACCCAGUAGAAAAUAAAGAUAAACUUCUGUAAGGAAUUUCAUUCUUUUCAGAAUUCGCAAUCUGAAAUGUAGAAGCCCAUUCCUUCAUGGUUCUCAUAGAUAUUUAGUGUGACUGAGGGGUCAGUGGACUCAUAGCACUCAGGCCAGGCUUCUCCUGAGUCCCUUUCUUUGGCACAGAGGGAGUGAUUCACAGAUCCUCUACCCCCAAAGGCAUUGUUUCCUCAUCUCAACAAGAAUCCAGCACCCGUCAUUUUAUCAGCACACGUCACUAGCUUCUCAAGUGAGACUACUCUGAAGUGAUCUGUGUUUGAAGAAUGCCUUUCCCUUUCCCUUACGUAACUAAGAGGAUGAAAAAGGACACUCACUCCCUAUAUGAAAGCUGUGUAUUGUAAGCAGUCAUCUUGCCUGGCUGAGAACUCUAGGAUCUUUUUCUCUGCUCUCCUUUAGGCUGACACUCAUAGCCAGACCUUCUGUUUAUUAGCCCCCUGAAUCUAUUUGAAAAUAUUUUUGCUUUCAUUAUAAUAUAAGUCACAUUCUUCUUGCAUCUGCCGCUGCAUUUUCCAAAAGGGUUAUGUCAAGGGAAAUUCAACACUCACUUUUCUCAUUAUUUGCUUACCAGCUUGCUCACUCAUCAAAAUACCAGAGUUAUUUGAUACUUCAGAAGAUUAUUUCCCCCUUUAGAUGAUGUGUCAAGGGAAGGGGAGCUGGCCCCAGUAUCAGGUGACAGAAUUUUCUUCGCAUUUCUACUGUUGACUCAAUAAAUGCCCUUGGGCAAGUCAUGGAGCCUCUUCAUACUUUGGUCUCUAGGGAUAAAAUCUGCCAACCGCAGCAUGUGUAUUUGAACCUCAGUGUCCUCUGGAAUAAAAAUAGGAGGGGACCAGGUGUCCAUGUGACCCCAAGCUGAUGGGAAGAGGAUGACCAUAGGACUUCAAAAUGUCCUUGAGCUGUAAAUUCUGUAAUAGGGUCAGGCCCACCAGUGGCCUUCAGGCAUUUGUCCAGUGGUGUAUGGAUAAGUUCUAGCACUUGAGUUUUUUCAGCACAAAGGAGGCACUAUGUCAACCUCCCACCCAUGGGUAUUCUGUUUGCUCUGUGUCCCCGCUUCUCUGCAUUUCCCUGCCAUAUUACUCACCACUGGUCGUAAUUACUUGCUUGAUCACUUGUCUCCUGGUCUGUAAGCUGUUUGAGGGAGGGGAGCACAUCUGCCCUAUGCAACACUGUACCCUCAGUGUGGUACACAGGAGCACAUGCCUGACAUAUGGAAGUUAUGUGAGAAACAUUUGUGAAGUGGACAAAUUAAUAAUGCUGCCUGGACUCUAUAGAAAUCCCUUUUCUGCAUCAUUAAGGUUCCCAAGCCUGGCCAAGAAGUAGUGGGAUCUGAUUAGCCUCAUCUCCUCAUAACCCUACUUCCUAUAAUAUUAUAAUGAAAGCAGAUCUCAGCCCAAAUGCUGGCACACAUACAUAUUUAUCAGUAAGAAGAUCCAAAAUCGUUCAUGCAGCUGGUUCUGUAAGCUUGGCAAAUUUCCAGCCCUCUGAACUUUUCAGUGCUUUGUCCACACUCUACAUGAAAGGGCCUCUUAAGAGUGACAGGGCAGUAUUCUAAAGACCAGAUUUUAAUUGCACCAGGUAACUGAAUUGUCUGAAUUCACAGCUGAACACAGGACAAGGUCAGAAUCAUAUUUCUUAUGCCAUUUAGAAAGGUGACAAGUGAAGGGCUGGCCAAAAUCUUACACCCAGCUUACGUAAGAGUAGAGACUGUCCCUAAUGCUUUCCCCAGUCCACUUGUCUCGAACACCAUUAGGUUCAAUAGUAAAAGCCCAUUUCUCACUUGCUUCAUGUUAAUUGACUGAUCACUAAUUUUACCAAUAAGAAGCCAUUUUUAUUAUUUAUCAUUAUGAUUUUUAUCAUUUUGUUAAUUAGCCAAGCUUCUGCUGUUGACUCCAGAUAAAGAGAGUUAAAGCACUUGGGGUGACCACCUAAGUAGAUUUUUUCAUGGUGAACAAAUGGAAGCAACAGAAACAGCUCAGACUUUUGAAAAGUGAUGAAAAAGGCCCAUGAUGCCCUGCUCCUUGAAAAUGAAGAAGAGGAUGACUUAGCCCUGCAGGGCUCUUUUCUUUGCAUGUUCUUACCAACCCUCAGGGGAGAUUCAGUCUACUAGCUGGCUUCCCCACGUGGACCUCACUCUGUGGUCCUCUUCUCCCUGAAGGCUGUCACAGUUCCUGUGCAGAGAGAGAGGGCACUGCAGCACCCAGGCGCUGACUGCCUUUUGUCAGUCUCAUUUGCAGGCCCCCAGCUGGAGAACCCAGGAGGAAGAGGAAAAAAGUUUUUUCCUCCUCUACACUCCCCAUGCAUGACUAAAGAGUAGGAGGAGUCAGCAAGGCAGACAUAUAUAGUACCCAGGAGGUGGACAAACAACUGCCUUGGUGGAAACUCUGUCCUUUCUGGACUUAUCCUGGUGCCACUGAGACUGUGCAGGUCCCACACUUACAGGGAAAGCAUCACCCGAAAGUGAGAAUGCCUAGAGGCAGGAAUCAUGGAGGCUUCCUUAACCGUCUGUCUGCAACAGCAGGUGCUAGAGAUGACACUGCAGAGUAGAGAACAAAGGAAUCUUAGUAAUUGUUCAAUCCAAUCUCCACACUUUAAAGAUGAAGAAACUGGUAUUGAGAAAAAUACACAGCUUAUCCAAGGUUGCACUGCUGGUUGGUAGCUGAGAUGAAUUUAGAACCCACAUCUGAUGACUACACCAUAUUGCUCCCAGUUUUCCUGUCUGUUCCACAUGUAAAAGUCUGACUCUUCACUUCUCCUUUGAGUAUAUAGACUUUUAACAUUUUUGUAUGUCAAGAUGGACUUUUCCUCAUACCCAGCCCCUGCCUUUUCUCCUCCCUUCAUACCUUGCAGGAUCUUUAACAGAAUUUAAAAGGAGUUUUUUGUUUUGUUUUGAUGUAUCUAAUAAAAGUCAAGGGAGGGAGAGGGCCAGUAUAAGCAAGAGUACAGUUUCCUAGUUUGUAGAUGCGGUAGUCUGAGGAAUCAGAAACACACAAAGGUUUGGAGAACUGGUACAUGCUCCCAGGUGGGAAGCCAGGACUCUUGGUAGGAUCUUGAGGACAAGGCAAAGGACAAUAAGAGAGCGAGGGGAUCCUAGAGGUGGAAUCAAGGAAGAGAAACUAGAGAGAGAAAAAGGAACUGGCUAUCCAUCCAUGAUGGAUCCUGUGUGGACUGAUGGGUGGCUUGGCAUCAUCCUUUAGUAGACUUCAUGUGGUUGAAUAAUUGGCCAAUGGAAGGAAUUUCUUUUUUGGUAACAGACUCUGUGUGUACAGUUAUGGGUCUUAAUUUAUAAUAAAAGGUUACAUUGAAAAUUGAGCAUAUUGGCAACUUUGGGCUUUAAUAUUACUACUGUGCUAUUUAGGUCCCAACCAUCCUAGCUAAUCUGGGCAUUCUUGAAACAGCUCUCAUUAUUGGUAUGUCAAACCGUCUCAUAGGGCAUGUACUUAACAAAAGUGGAGUGAAGGGUUCAGGAUGCAUAAAUGGGGUGAAGCUCGUGGUAUUCCAUUCCUUUUUACUGAAGCCACUCCUACCAGCUGCCUUCUAGAUUGUUCACCUUAUAUGAGCAUGGUGCAGUAUAGAAGUUGUAGACUUUGGCCUCAGACAGAUCUAAAUUCUAAUCUCAGAUCACUACUUCCUGGUUGAGGACAAGAUUUCUUUAACCACCCCAAGUCCCAAUUUUCUCAUGUCUAAAAUGGCAGAAAUAAUGUGUACUUUGCAGGGUUGUUGUGAGAGUUAAGUAAUAUGGGUAAUGCACUUGGGACAGUGCUUCACACAAAAUUGUCAGUAAAUGGUGAUCUUUCUUUUCCUGGCACUACAAAGCUGAGGAGAGGAGGGAGGGAGGGAGAUGAAUGUCUGGAGGAAGAAAGGGCAGGAGUUUCUUCAUCUUUGAGUGAAGGAGCAUUGAGGGUUAGCAGGGAUAUAGGAAUAGUGAGUUGGCUGGGAAGAAAAAAAGGAUUAAAAGAGGAAAAGAAUAGGAAAAAAGAAGGAUACCAUGGAGAAAAUGGGCAACGGCCCCAGAAAGAAGAGCAAGAAUGGCAGUGAUGGUGAGCAUUGCUGGAAUGAUGGAAGGUUCUCCGGCCCCGGUGAUGCGUGGGCACCACCGGAGAGCUUGUUAGAAAUGCAGAGUCUCUGUCCCUCCCCAGACCCUCUGAAUCAUAAUUUGCAAUUUAAUGAGAGGUCCCCAGGUGAUUCCCAUAUCCAUUAAUUCUGCAGAGUUGAUGUUUUCAUCUGCGGUGGCGGGGGGCGG
Molecule: long non-coding RNA, 13217 nt
Filed under: Homo sapiens (human)
Lineage: Eukaryota; Metazoa; Chordata; Mammalia; Primates; Hominidae
Description: HSALNT0111023
Source: RNAcentral